GCCGAAAUAGCUCAGUUGGGAAAGCGUUAGACUGAAGAUCUAAAGGUCCCUGGUUCGACACCGGGUUUGGGCA
This 73-nucleotide transfer RNA is filed under the name Pongo abelii (Sumatran orangutan). It matches the Rfam family "tRNA". Rfam says of the family: Transfer RNA (tRNA) molecules are approximately 80 nucleotides in length. Their secondary structure includes four short double-helical elements and three loops (D, anti-codon, and T loops). Lineage: Eukaryota; Metazoa; Chordata; Mammalia; Primates; Hominidae. The record is from Rfam by way of RNAcentral.